RNAcentral lists this transfer RNA (72 nucleotides) under Mesocricetus auratus (golden hamster). It matches the Rfam family "tRNA". Rfam says of the family: Transfer RNA (tRNA) molecules are approximately 80 nucleotides in length. Lineage: Eukaryota; Metazoa; Chordata; Mammalia; Rodentia; Cricetidae. The record is from Rfam by way of RNAcentral.
GGGGAUGUAGCUCACAGGUGGAGCACUUCACUGGUGUGCUCAAAGUCCUGGGUUCAAUACCCAGCAUAACCA